GUACCUCAGGUUACAUACGCUUCAGGUUACAUAUGCUUCAGGUUACAGAUUCCGCUAACCCGGAAAUAGUGCUUCAGGUUAAGAACUUUGCUUCAGGAUGAGAACAGAAAUCGUGCUCCGGUGGCACGGCAGCAGCAGGAGGCCCCAUUAGCUAAAGUGGUGCUUCAGGUUAAGAACUGUUUCAGGUUAAGUACAGACCUCCGGAACGAAUUAAGUACUUAACCUGAGGUACCACUGUACAUAACAAAAGGCAUGGCUGCUAAUACAUAGGAAGUUGCCCCCAAAGAAAUGUAAGUGAUGUGUGCUUUCUCUCUCCCCACACUCCCAGGUUUCAUUCAAAAGGCUGGCAAAUGCAGACGCCCCACAGUGAAUGGACACUUGACCCCAUAUCAAGAAAAUGUACAUCUUCCGAUCUGAAUCUCACGCUCCUAACAUCUACCCCUCACCUGCAAUAUUGAACACUUUUUUCAGUAACUAAUGAGUUCUUUCUCUAUACCCCCUUAGACAUUUUGUAAGUUUUUGUGACUUUCAUUCUUGCUUUGUCCAGAGUUCUUUUGUAGUUUAUCAAUGUAGGAGUGAAUCUUGUCUCAUUUCUUUCUCACCUGUGGGAAUGAGUUCAUUUUAGCCCAUCCAUUCGAUCUUCUGAAGCUUGGUAAUAUUUUUGACUGUGACUCUGAGUUCCUUUAGCAAACUGUCAUAUUCAUCUUUCCCCCUUGGGAAAUCUACCACUGUUAUUGGCACUUGUUCAUUCUCCUCCACUGAGAACAGUAAACUAUAUAGAAUUAAUCUGCAUUUGUAAAAGAAAUACCUAUCGCUUUUUUCCCUUCUGUGCCAUAGGCAUGCUUUUGUAAGAUCAUUGUAUUCUUCCCCAAUGUCUUUUCCCACUUCCUAACCUCCUCCCUCAGUGCAUGGGAAAAUGCAAACUUUACUCAAGACACCGAAAAUUGUACUAAGGCAACAUUACAUUACAUUAUAUCUUAUAUGAUUUAACAUUACAGAAUCCCUUGAAAUUCACUGCGGGUCACAAACCAAAGUAGUAUCUUGUUGAAAAUUCUUUAAAAAUCUAUGACUGAGGCAAGGCAAAUUCUCACAUAAAAAAGCAACUAAGAUGCAGGCCUAUAGCUGACCCAUAUAAGUAUGGGGCGAGGAAUUCAUUGAGUUUGUCUAAUUCACGUUUCCUGAACCAGUACGCCAACUGCCACCCCCCAGUUAAAAUUACCGUAAGAUAAUAGUAUCAAUGCAAGCUUCAAAAAUCACUCGAAAAUAGCAUUAAACACCAACGAAAAACAAGGUGUGCCAAGGACUUAAAUAUACUGGGUGGUAUUCAAUACUAGUCAUACUCAAGAGUAGACCCAUAAAAAUUAAUGGACAUAAAUGACAUAGUGUUUUAGAAAGUCUGACUUAGGAACGUUCACCUUUAAAUGUGAACAGUAUCAAAUUUCCACCCCAUCCCUGUUUGCGAGUUACCUAUGGCAUGGGCAUUUGGCAAAAUGGUGGGCAUCAGAUAAGGGCUGUCCAAGAUGAAACAGGAAAUUUUCCCAGUAAAGACAACUCUUUAUAUAGCAUUAAUGUCCCCGGUCACAGCGGCCUGCCUUGGUGCCUUAUUAGUUUUAAUGAGCAUUGUUGUUUUGUUUUCAUAUUUUAACACACACACACGCUCUCAUUUUAUUCUGUAAACCUAAUUAGGUCCAAAACUGCCUGCUCUGAUCUCAAGAUAGCUAUUGAGAAAACCCAAGUUUUAAAAAAUUCAUUUGUUUUCAAGCAUUUACCUCCCCUGAUACAUGAGCUGAACACCAUUCUCUCAGUCCUGCAUUUUUGCUUUAUAGCAAAUAAAAAUCCUGUCAUAAAACAUUCUCUUUACCAGCAAAUGUGCCAAGAUUUGCAGAAAGAUUAAAGCAAUAUAUACCAGAAGAAGAAGAAAUACAACCAAUAUACAUGGCGUCUUUUUGUUCAGUGCCAUCCAAGAUUCUAUUGCCAAGAAUCAUUUGAAGGCUACAAUAUUAGAGUAUUACUACACACACUUCCUUGGAAAGAAGUCCCAUGGAAAUCAAUAGGCCUUACUUCUGAGUCAACAUGCAUAGGGUUGUUCUGAAUAUUGUGCCUAGGCACUGCCAUACCUUUUGUGAACCUCCUCUAAUAAAUUGAAUGUUUUGAAAUAAUUGACCCACGCAUCACAGUGUCAAUAGGAGUCCUAAAUGGAUGGCAAAGAUUUCAACAUCUCUCAGGGUCUGUGAUUUUCUUUUCUUAAAAGGAAGAGCAUCAGUCUCCAGUAUUAAGCACAGUACUGUUGUGUAGACACACAGAGAACUUAUAGUGUUAGGAGUAUCAUUUGUUGCCUAUUACAAAUUUUGUUGCAUUUUCCUAUUGAAACGCAUGUGAACUUUACAACAGCCAUUUAGAGACAAAGGGGUAAAAUUUGUCCAGUUUCUCUCCCCCCAUGUUGUUAAUAGGGUUACAACAUAAACCAGGGGUCGGCAAGCUUUACCGGCCAUGGGCCGGAUCAGUCCCACGGAGAUCGUCUGUGGGUCAGACUGGUGCAGCGCGGAGCCAGAAAUCAUGUCUGCGCAUGUCUGCUGUGGUGCCGGAAAUUGCUUCUGCGCAUGCCCAGACGCCAAAAAUCGCACCUGCACAGAAGCGAUUUUCGGCAUCUGGCCAUGCACAGAUGCGAUUUCCGGUAUCUGCGUGUGCGCAGACACGAUUUCCAGCACCGCUCAGCGAGUCCCCGCACCACGCUGCGCCAGUUUAGUGCAGCGUGGGGGGGGACUCACCGAGUGGGUAGCUCGGUUCAGGGUGGCUUGUGGGCUGGUAAAACGGUCUUCGUGGGCCACAUCCAGCCCAUGGGCCAUACAUUGCCGACCCCUGAGAUAAACCCAUGCAUGCUUACUGUGAAGUGAGCCCUACUGUGUUCAGUUUUGUUUGAUCACAGGAAAGUAAGAUUUCAGUUGUCAUUUCAUCUAGGCAGGAGUGGGGAACUGGUCCUCCCAAGGAUCCUAUAAAGGUCUUCUUCUUCUUUGGCGAUCACUCAUAGCCGAGUAAGAUUGUCUUCCAAAACAUGGUCUUAGCAGUGAGUCCGUAAGUGACUGUGGAGGCCAAUUCUGGAUCCACACGUCCUUCCACAGUGGGGACAUAGGUUUCCGGGUGGGAGUUGAUCAUUUUCAAUGCAUAGGCCAACCUGAUACCCUCCCCGUGUGCAUUCAACCUGAGAUAACAUGGACAAUUGUCAGGGAUGAUGUGUUAGUCCAAAAAAACUGGAGGGUACAAUUUUGGCUGCCUUCCUGCCUCUGCCUCCACAUCUGGAAAAAGCCUAACUUACUGGGGUCUGUUUGUUACAGGUGGCUUGGAACUGUAAGUUAGAAGGGGUAAAUUACAGUACCCAAAAUUCCUUUAAGAAUUUAUAGUGGGACCACCUAUGGGCUCAAAAAUAUUGCACCAAUAUAAAUAGAGCAAUUGCUAGAAUAACUAGAAUGGCAGUGAGCCUGGAACUAUUGCUAUUUUUUUAUUGACUUAGGUGAAAACAUAAAUAAAUGCUAUCAUGCAGGAUAUGCUCAGUAUUGGAGGGUAAAAGCAAUAGCUAAGGUACAAGAAUGGGAGAUUCAAAUGCACAAAUAAGCUGUUAACGCUAAAUUAACCGAUGCAUUUGGACCAAAGAAGGUAGGCAAAAUAUGGAAUAGAUUUAACAAAGGUGUAUUUAUAACUAGCAGUCCUUGCAUUGCUUGUGAAUUCUGAGAAACCCCCCAAAAUAGUGCCGUUUUGAAAUCAGUAGUUAAAAUCAGUGUGGAUUUGAAAGGUUCUGUCUGCCAUCUUGAUUCAAAAUGGCAUCCAAUCUGGACAGUUCUGCAAGUUUCCCCAGCUUAAACUGACUGCCAUUCCCUUUUUCCUUCUGUACCUGCUGAACUCUUCCUUCCAACAAUGUUCCACAGCUAUCACAGAAUCACAGAAUUCUAGAGUUGGAAGGGACCUUGUGGGUCAUAUAAUCCAACCUGCUGCAAUGCAGGGAUUUUUUUGUCCAGUGUAGGGCUGGAACCCGUGACCCUAAGAUUAAGAGCUUUCCCAGCUAAGCCUUGCCAGAGUAGCCAAGACCCCUGAAACCUCUAGAAGACGGUAAACGAUAAGGUAAACUUAGGUUGUUUUCACCCAGACUUCCACCCCCAAGAUCUGACUUCUUUUGUAACUACCUGAGCCACUGCAAAAAGAAAUGGCUCUACAGUUUGCUCAGCUUAUUAUUGUUUCACAAGGGACUUUGUGACAGCCUAGUAAAGGAGCAGAAUUAUGGUGAGAAUAAAAGUAAAUGUAAAUGAUGCCCAGAAGAAAUGCCUUAACAUUCCAAUAUUUCCAGUGCCGUUAAACUGCUUGAUUGCAGCUUGCGACUCUCCGGUAUGACUACUCACAGAAAUUAAAACAUGCUUAUGUUUCCUGCCCAGAAGCAAAUGUUAUCUGCCUGGUCUCCUCCACAGCUCAGUGGUGGAGCUGAAGGUUUGGCAGCAGAAAAUCCUGGUCUCAGUCCCUGGCAUUUCCAGGUUUAGGUGAUGGUGAUGACAAAGACCUCUGCUGGAGAGCCAAUACGAGCCAGUACAAGUGAAUCCAAUCAGAAUAGAUUUAAUAUUGUGUAGAUGAACAAAUAAGGAAAUCAGCCCUGAGUGCUCACUGGAAGGACAGAUCCUGAAGCUGAGACUCCAAUACUUUGGCCACCUCAUGAGAAGAGAAGACUCCCUGGAAAAGACCCUGAUGUUGGGAAAGAUAGAGGGCACAAGGAGAAGGGGAGGACAGAGGACAAGAUGGUUGGAUAGUGUUCUUGAAGCUACCAGCAUGAGUUUGACCAAACUGCGGGAAGCCGUGGAAGACAGGAGUGCCUGGCGUGCUCUGGUCCAUGGGGUCACAAAGAGUCGGACACGACUAAACGACUAAACAACAACAACAGAUGAACAAAUAAACUGACCUGGCAUUGCGCAAAAUUCCCAGGCACUUAAUAUAGUUUUUUCUUAAACUUCUCCCCGCUUUUUACGGAUUAGAGGCUCAGAGCUAUCCUGCAGCAAAAAGAAAGCAUUCUCUCCUACACCCAUCGUACUUGGUAGUCUACUUCAUACAGGACUGGCCCACCCAUGAGGCGAACUGAGGCAGUCGCUUCGUGUGGCAGAAUGCCAAGGGGCAGUGCCUCCAUGCGUGCCCUGCCUGCCCCUGCCGCCACCCCUUGAAAAAUAAGGAGAAGCAGCAGCAGAGGUUUCUGGUGAGAUCUUGUGGAACUCUUGCAAGAUUUCAUCACCGCCACUGCUUCCUCUCACUUCUCCAGAGCCGACCCCAGAAAGUGAGGCUUUGGCCAGGCGUGGAGGCAGGGGCAGGAAGGCAGCAUCUUCCCAUCUUGCCUCAGGUGGCAAAAUGGAAUGGGCCACCCCUGACUUUCUUAUAUUGCAUAUCUAAGGAGAAAUGGAGAAGUCACUUUCAGUGCAAUACUAUGCAUGUCUACACAAAAUUAAGUCCCAUUGUGAUUAACUUCCACAGUUAUGUGUAUAUAGGACUGCAGCCUUAGAACAUCUUUAUUAAAUCCUGGGGGGUGGCUGAACUUUAGCAACAUCAUGAAACAGAAUCUGCAAGUACUAGUUAUUCUCUCUCUCUCUCUCUCUCUCUCUCUCUCUCUCUCUCUCUCUCGUCACCUGCUUGCAGAAUAUAUGCAUUUCCAGAGUGAAAAGGAGGGGUCAGAGAAAACAAAAUGUUCUGUCUCCUCUUGACAUUCAGCUUGUUUACAUCUCUGUAUCAAGUAAGGAGGGAGAAGCCACAUGGGACCUUCUGUUUCUUACCCUAGAAGGGAAGGCAGAAGUUCUUCUGAGUCCUGAGAAAGGGUCAGGACAUUCUUCCCCAACGUUAUUUUUAUAUAUAUUAUUGCCUUAUGUUCUGUCUCUCUUUCUUCAGGAACCUUGCAGAAGACUUGUGGUUCCUGGAGCUGGAGAAAUUGACAUACAAACUACGUGAUAAGGACAACUGUGACUUUAAAGAAGAAUGAGAACCUUUUACCAAGUACUUAAAGAAACAACAAAAUGUACUGGACUCCUUGGCAGGUUUUGAAUAAACAUAAACAAAUUUAUUAUUGAUAACAUACAGGUAGAUAAAUUAAGGAGCUUUACAAUUUUAUAACAUGCAGAGAAUAACACGUGCUG
This is a non-coding RNA of Podarcis lilfordi (Lilford's wall lizard), 6149 nucleotides long. The record is from the annotation of a GenBank genome assembly. NCBI's taxonomy places the organism in Eukaryota, Metazoa, Chordata, Lepidosauria, Squamata, Lacertidae.